Myotis brandtii (Brandt's bat) is the source of this 90-nucleotide long non-coding RNA. RefSeq lists it as uncharacterized. The record is from RefSeq and is a predicted model, not a curated record. Lineage: Eukaryota; Metazoa; Chordata; Mammalia; Chiroptera; Vespertilionidae. The transcript is spliced from 3 exons.
ACAUCUUCCAUCACUCAGUCCCCACAAGGCAACUGCCUCACGCUUGAGAAGCCCAGAGAGACACAUCAGAACCCUGGGCGGUGUCAUUGC